CGUCAAAUCAUCAUGCCCCUUAUGUCCAGGGCUACACACGUACUACAAUGGCCGGAAACAACGCGAAGCGAAGCGGCGACGCGGAGCAAAUCGCCAAACCCGGUCCCAGUUCAGAUUGCAGGCUGCAACUCGCCUGCAUGAAGUCGGAAUUGCUAGUAAUCGCGAAUCAGCAUGUCGCGGUGAAUACGUUCCCGGGCCUU
This 200-nucleotide ribosomal RNA is filed under the name uncultured prokaryote. RNAcentral's name for it is "partial 16S ribosomal RNA". It matches the Rfam family "Bacterial small subunit ribosomal RNA", at positions 1183 to 1382 of the family's 1533-position model. The record is from RNAcentral.